GCCAGCAGCCAUAUCAUCCUGCAACUCACAACUGGCAACCCACUGAAGCUCAGCAGGUGUGAGCCUGGUCAGUACCUGGAUGGGAGACCUCCUGGGAAAAACUAAGGUUGCUGCUGGAA
This is a ribosomal RNA of Lepisosteus oculatus (spotted gar), 119 nucleotides long. The record is from Ensembl. NCBI's taxonomy places the organism in Eukaryota, Metazoa, Chordata, Actinopteri, Semionotiformes, Lepisosteidae.